UUUAAUGAUGAUAAUAAUGCCUGUCAUUUGCUUCCUACGGACCCAACUCUGCUAAGGGCAGUAUCGCUACCAUUUCAUUUAUUCCUUUCAAGCACAUUUGGCACUCAGAUGAUACAACUUGUUGAUGGUCACGUAGUAAAUGACAGAGCAGAAACUUGAUGUCGGUCUGACUCAGAGGCCUGAGAUCUCACUGAUGUGGGAAACAGAGGCAGGAGAAAAAUUACUGAAUUUCCUUACUGCUUGCAGCCCAGUGACACACAGGUCCUCGAGGCAAGCAGAGUGACAUUCUUCUGGGGGCUCAACAACCUGGAUGUUGACGCUUUGCUAAAGGCAAAAGGCAAUCUUAGCUGGACCCCCAAGAUCCUAAUCUUUCAUCUGUUGGACGGUGCAGGAGAGGAAGGGACAACUCAUAGCCUGCCUGCAGACCACUGAAGUUGUCCCACAGAAGUCGACUGACCUACUGAGCCCUCCACGCUGCAGGGUGAGCAAGAGUGACUCAGCACAGACUGGACUCACUCGGAGCAUUACAGUAAAAGGAAAUGCCAGAAGCAGAAGCCCGACGUUGGGAGUGAAGCAGUCCAUUUUUGAGCAACCUAAAGAUGUCAGCGAGUCUCCGGCCAGCCGAGCAUUAAGUUCUAGGAACAGCAUGUGGGAACUGAGCCUGAGAGGGGUGGGGUGGGGUAUGGUGGGGUCAGAGCUUGCAGGAAUGCGGAUCUGACUUUAUCCUAAGGGCAGUGGGCAGGCAGGGCUGGGUGGUGGGUGGAGAUGGUGACAUGUAGAUGAAUUCUUUGAGACAGGCAGACAGCAUGGGUUAUAUCCAGGUUAUAUCCAGGUGUGAGAUAAGUGGCCUGGAGUUUUCCAAUGGAUAGGUGCAGAAGGUAUUUAGGGGGGAUUGACAGGCCUUGGAGGUGAACCAGGUGGGGGGCAGGAAGGGAGAAUUCACAGGGGUCCGACUCCAUAAAGAUGCUUUUCCUUGAGAUGGGGACACAGGAAGAGGUGGGGCUCUGAGCAGGAGUUUGCUUGUGGAAACAUUCUAUUUUAGGUGUAGCUGGGACAUAGGAAUGGAGAUGUCCCAUUGGUGGUUCAUGUGGACAUUCUGGAACUCAGGCAGAGCUGCCUGGCCGUGCAGGCGUGGGUCCCCGGCAUGUUGAAUGGAUCUAAGAAGGCUUGGAAGCGCACAACCUGACUGGGAAGAGCGGGGAGGAGAGAAAAAAGGACUAAGGCAGAACCCAGGGCCCCACAUCUAAAUCCAGUCAUUCAUACACCACCCUCACUAUCUGUAUUUGCCAUUUCAGUACAUCCCUUCUAUUGUCUUCUAUUAAAUAGAAAGUUCUUGGGCA
This is a long non-coding RNA of Canis lupus familiaris (dog), 1340 nucleotides long. RefSeq lists it as uncharacterized. The record is from RefSeq and is a predicted model, not a curated record. NCBI's taxonomy places the organism in Eukaryota, Metazoa, Chordata, Mammalia, Carnivora, Canidae. The transcript is spliced from 2 exons.